RNAcentral lists this ribosomal RNA (277 nucleotides) under uncultured soil bacterium. Its description in RNAcentral is "partial 16S ribosomal RNA". It matches the Rfam family "Bacterial small subunit ribosomal RNA", at positions 26 to 304 of the family's 1533-position model. The record is from RNAcentral.
AGAUUGAACGCUGGCGGCAGGCCUAACACAUGCAAGUCGAGCGGUAGAGAGGUGCUUGCACCUCUUGAGAGCGGCGGACGGGUGAGUAAUGCCUAGGAAUCUGCCUAGUGGUGGGGGAUAACGUUCGGAAACGGACGCUAAAUACCGCAUACGUCCUACGGGAGAAAGCGGGGGACCUUCGGGCCUCGCGCCAUUAGAUGAGCCUAGGUCGGAUUAGCUAGUUGGUGAGGUAAUGGCUCACCAAGGCGACGAUCCGUAACUGGUCUGAGAGGAUGAC